Pezoporus occidentalis (night parrot) is the source of this 1654-nucleotide long non-coding RNA. RefSeq lists it as uncharacterized. The transcript has 3 exons. Lineage: Eukaryota; Metazoa; Chordata; Aves; Psittaciformes; Psittacidae. The record is from RefSeq and is a predicted model, not a curated record.
UACAGUCUCACUCAUCACAACUGGACUGUAUGCCUGAAACCAUAACGAGCCAAGUACCUCCCUCGGAGUUCACAGUAAAUCCACGGAGGAGAGGAAGAAACUGCAAAGAACUUGCCAGAUAACAAUAAAGAACCCGAGGAAAUGUCAAUCUGCUUCGGGAUGCUCCAAAAAUGGGAAAAGAAGCAAGAUUUGCUGAAUAAACAAUUAUUCUCUGAGCUCCAGGAGCCAAAUAAAAGGAGGGAGAAGGAUCCAGAAUAUGUCACAAGUAAUAGAAGGUAUGAUGAUAUCGGCACAGGAGGAGCGUAUUUCCUAGGAGGGAUGACAAAGAGGAUCUGUCUCCUUAUUGGCAUUUUUCAGGGACAGAACAAGAGCAACUGCUAUUGUUCUGCAGCCUACAAAUGGGUUCUGGGAACCCAAGGAUGGCGUGAAAAUCCAGAAGAGGGGAAGCGGUGUACCAGGAAAGGGCAGAGCAAGAGGUCUGAUAUGGGUGACAGAGGCUCCAAGGUCCUCUGGAAAUGUGGCGCCUGAGUAACCCUGACACAACAGCUGUGCUCAGAUGCAGUGGCACUUCAAAGCAACGAGUUCAAAACAUGUUUAUAACCCUCAGGCUACUAUACACAUACUACGAGUUGAGGGUCUCCACUAUCUGCUUCUGCUCUGGCCAUGAAGAAACCAGCAAACACAUUAGAAACUGUGUUACUUACUGCAAAGGUUAACCUAAAGAGAUGAUCCAGCUCAAACUCCUUUGUGGGUAGCCUAGAUAGUUUACAAAGGGAGACAAAUGUGAGUUGGCAAGACCUGAGGUAUCUUAGAAAAGCAUUUCUGAAGUUUCCACAAGACUGAUGUGUGAUAAAUGUCUAUUCAAGAUGGAGUGAUUUAAAAAUACCAAAUAGCAAGGAAAAAAAAGAAAAAAGAUGAUUGGAGUAAUCUAUUUUAAUUAUGCUUCAUAUUUGUAGUUAUUUCCAAAACCCCCUCAAAAUUACCAGAAAACAAAACUAAACAAAACUAAAAAGGUUGCUUCCUGUUAGCUGGGAAUUGAAGCAUCCUGAUUUGAAACUAAAUAUAGCCCUUCCGCUAAAUUUGGUAAGUUUUUGCUAGCCUGGGCUCUCUGCACAUGUAAAUAGAACAAUCUAAUCGCUCACAAUUAUUCAGAUCCAUAAUUUGCAUUUAGUUAUGUUAGAAAAUAGUGAAUGGCUUUGCUUAUUUACAUGAUAAUUAUUUUUUGCUCCCCUUUGAUUUGUGUCAAGCUAUUUUGGGAUGAGAAUUGGAAUUCAAUUAAGAUGCAGAAAGCCAGCGUUUUAAUUCUGCUUUUUAUUAGAUAAUGAAGCCACACAGUAGCUGUGCAGGAUAUACAAGGCAAGUUGAUCAAAACUGAUUAGGCAAGGAAAGGACAUAUUAUCUGUAGGUAGUGAAUUGAAUUGUUUCUUUUUGGUCAAUAUGUCUUACGAGGUUUUAGAACUAAUGGAUCUCAGCCUUUCAAGCCUCAUUUAGAGUGAGACCAAAGAGGAAAAUCAAGUCUUCCUUGGUUUUCCAGCUUGCUAUGAACUGUGUAGUGCUGAUCAGAACAUUAGGUAUCGAAUCAAAAAAUACUAAUAAUGAAUAAACGGAACAAACCCUCCUAGAAUAGCCAGAAAAGGCUGCAAAUUGUAAGGAA